GAUGAACGCUAGCGGCAGGCUUAACACAUGCAAGUCGAGGGGUAACAGGAGUGCUUGCACUUGCUGACGACCGGCGCACGGGUGCGUAACGCGUAUAGAACCUACCUUUUAGUGAGGGAUAGCCCAGAGAAAUUUGGAUUAAUACCUCAUAGUAUCUUAAGUGAGCAUUCACUAAGGAUUAAAGAUUUAUUGCUAAAAGAUGGCUAUGCGUUCUAUUAGCUAGUUGGUAUGGUAACGGCAUACCAAGGCUACGAUAGAUAGGGGUCCUGAGAGGGAGAUCCCCCACACUGGUACUGAGACACGGACCAG
RNAcentral lists this ribosomal RNA (309 nucleotides) under uncultured Aquimarina sp. Its description in RNAcentral is "bacterial SSU rRNA". It matches the Rfam family "Bacterial small subunit ribosomal RNA", at positions 28 to 334 of the family's 1533-position model. The record is from RNAcentral. Lineage: Bacteria; Pseudomonadati; Bacteroidota; Flavobacteriia; Flavobacteriales; Flavobacteriaceae.